UACGAAGGGGGCUAGCGUUGUUCGGAUUUACUGGGCGUAAAGCGCACGUAGGCGGUUUGUUAAGUCAGGGGUGAAAUCCCAGAGCUCAACUCUGGAACUGCCUUUGAUACUGGCAAGCUCGAGUCCGGAAGAGGUAAGUGGAACUCCUAGUGUAGAGGUGGAAUUCGUAGAUAUUAGGAAGAACACCAGUGGCGAAGGCGCUUACUGGUCCGGAACUGACGCUGAGGUGCGAAAGCGUGGGGAGCAAACAGG
This 252-nucleotide ribosomal RNA is filed under the name uncultured bacterium. RNAcentral describes it as "partial 16S ribosomal RNA". It matches the Rfam family "Bacterial small subunit ribosomal RNA", at positions 524 to 776 of the family's 1533-position model. The record is from RNAcentral.